UUUCUGUAUGUUUAUUUUUUUUAUUUUUAUUGCAUUAGGAAACAAAACCUUUAAAGCGUUAAGACAGCCCUUUUAUGUCCCUGCCAAAAGGAUGUGGUUGAUUCACAAGACACGUUACGCUGCUGGCCCCAGGCUCCUUGUCGAAUGGUGCGUUAUCUGCCCGCCUCUGUCUCUUUGCCGUGUGAGAGUCGGUUCGGGGGAAGCUCACCCGGUGGCAUGCGCAUGCAUGGUCAGUUUGGGUCACAGUGUCAUGGUGAGAGGCUACUCCAUGCCGCUCCGCAGGAUCUGGUUGGCCGCAAUCAGCAUCACGCUUAUAAUAAAGGCCAUGGCAAAUGCGCAGAUAAGGCUCUUCCGGACGCAGGUCUGUCUGUUCUGCUUCUGGGCAUGCACUUCAAACUCUGUUUGGCAGUUGCCAGAGUUUUCAUUUAAACUCUCCUCCUCG
This 442-nucleotide long non-coding RNA is filed under the name Gallus gallus (chicken). Lineage: Eukaryota; Metazoa; Chordata; Aves; Galliformes; Phasianidae. The record is from RNAcentral.